RNAcentral lists this transfer RNA (114 nucleotides) under Candidatus Borkfalkia stercoripullorum. RNAcentral describes it as "tRNA-Glu". Lineage: Bacteria; Bacillati; Bacillota; Clostridia; Christensenellales; Christensenellaceae. The record is from RNAcentral.
GGUCAAGCGGUUAAGACGUCGCCCUCUCACGGCGAAAACCGGGGUUCGCGCGAGCGCAGCGACGCUCAACCAAGGGGGCCCCUUCAGGGGUUUCGGUUGAUUCCCCGCCCGCCA